UACAGAGGGUGCGAGCGUUAAUCGGAAUUACUGGGCGUAAAGGGCGCGUAGGCGGUGAUAUGAGUGGGAUGUGAAAGCCCUGGGCUUAACCUAGGAAGUGCAUCCCAAACGAUAUUACUGGAGUAGAGGAGAGGGUGGCGGAACUUCCGGUGUAGCAGUGAAAUGCGUAGAGAUCGGAAGGAACGUCGAUGGCGAAGGCAGCCGCCUGGCCUCAUACUGACGCUGAGGCGCGAAAGCGUGGGGAGCAAACAGG
Molecule: ribosomal RNA, 253 nt
Filed under: uncultured bacterium
Lineage: Bacteria
Description: partial 16S ribosomal RNA
Rfam family: Bacterial small subunit ribosomal RNA
Source: RNAcentral